This 106-nucleotide Y RNA is filed under the name Mus pahari (shrew mouse). RNAcentral's name for it is "sRNA (MGP_PahariEiJ_G0008319.1)". It matches the Rfam family "Y RNA". Rfam says of the family: Y RNAs are components of the Ro ribonucleoprotein particle (Ro RNP), in association with Ro60 and La proteins. The record is from RNAcentral. Lineage: Eukaryota; Metazoa; Chordata; Mammalia; Rodentia; Muridae.
GGCUGAACCAAAGGUAGUGGGUUAUCUCAAUGGAUGGUUCACAAUCAGAGAUUGAACUCCUGUUCUAUACCUUCCUUCCUCCACUACUGCACUUGACUAGAGAUAG